AUUGAACGCUGGCGGCAGGCCUAACACAUGCAAGUCGAGCGGAUGAAGGGAGCUUGCUCCUGGAUUCAGCGGCGGACGGGUGAGUAAUGCCUAGGAAUCUGCCUGGUAGUGGGGGAUAACGUCCGGAAACGGGCGCUAAUACCGCAUACGUCCUGAGGGAGAAAGUGGGGGAUCUUCGGACCUCACGCUAUCAGAUGAGCCUAGGUCGGAGUAGCUAGUUGGUGGGGUAAAGGCCUACCAAGGCGACGAUCCGUAACUGGUCUGAGAGGAUGAUCAGUCACACUGGAACUGAGACACGGUCCAGACUCCUACGGGAGGCAGCAGUGGGGAAUAUUGGACAAUGGGCGAAAGCCUGAUCCAGCCAUGCCGCGUGUGCGAAGAAGGUCUUCGGAUUGUAAAGCACUUUAAGUUGGGAGGAAGGGCAGUAAGUUAAUACCUUGCUGUUUUGACGUUACCAACAGAAUAAGCACCGGCUAACUUCGUG
Molecule: ribosomal RNA, 484 nt
Filed under: uncultured bacterium
Lineage: Bacteria
Description: partial 16S ribosomal RNA
Rfam family: Bacterial small subunit ribosomal RNA
Source: RNAcentral